This 465-nucleotide ribosomal RNA is filed under the name uncultured bacterium. RNAcentral's name for it is "partial 16S ribosomal RNA". It matches the Rfam family "Bacterial small subunit ribosomal RNA", at positions 28 to 507 of the family's 1533-position model. The record is from RNAcentral.
GACGAACGCUGGCGGCGUGCUUAACACAUGCAAGUCGAACGGAAAGGCCCUGCUUGCAGGGUACUCGAGUGGCGAACGGGUGAGUAACACGUGGGUGAUCUGCCCUGCACUUCGGGAUAAGCCUGGGAAACUGGGUCUAAUACCGGAUAGGAGCCAUUUUUAGUGUGAUGGUUGGAAAGUUUUUUCGGUGUAGGAUGAGCUCGCGGCCUAUCAGCUUGUUGGUGGGGUAAUGGCCUACCAAGGCGGCGACGGGUAGCCGGCCUGGGAGGGUGGACGGCCACAUUGGGACUGGGAUACGGCCCAGACUCCUACGGGAGGCAGCAGUGGGGAAUAUUGCACAAUGGGCGCAAGCCUGAUGCAGCGACGCCGCGGGGGGGAUGACGGCCUUCGGGUUGUAAACUCCUUUCGCUAGGGACGAAGCUUUUUGUGACGGUACCUAGAUAAGAAGCACCGGCUAACUACGUG